This is an RNA transcript of Macadamia integrifolia, 996 nucleotides long. It is a transcript of the gene named protein SHORT HYPOCOTYL IN WHITE LIGHT 1-like, with no coding region annotated. The transcript has 5 exons. The record is from RefSeq and is a predicted model, not a curated record. Lineage: Eukaryota; Viridiplantae; Streptophyta; Magnoliopsida; Proteales; Proteaceae.
CCAUUUAAAACAUGGGGUUUUAUCCAUAUAGAUUUAUCUGCGAUGGCAGUUGCAGCAGUAUCCUCCCCGGUUGCAAAUCCCCUGCUCCCGUCCACCAGUCUCUGCUGUUCUCGAUUGAGCUCCACAAAUCUCACGCUAUCUCAUCUCGCAUUUCGUCCCUCCUUGCUCCAUCUCAGAUACAACAGAUGCCCUGGAAGCAGCAUUUGCAAUGGAAAGCCGAAUGCUUCUUUGGGAAGAGAAACAGAAGACAUAGGGGAAGUCUUCUUUGGCGGCGAUGAUGAAAUGGAAGAUGAAAGCGAGGAAGAAGACUCCGAUAGUAGUGUGGAUUUGCUCUUCAGGUUCACGCAUAGCAUAUUCAGAAAGGUUUCCAAGAGAGCCAAGAAGGCCACGCGUUCGAUAUUGCCUCACGCGAUAUCUCCACAGCUGGUUUCCUUUGCAGUGGAUGGAGUUCUUCUUCUGACUUCACUCUCUAUUGUUAAAGCUCUACUUGAGGUAAUUUGCAACCUUGGAGGUGCAGUUUUCUUUGUGAUCUUGCUGCUACGUGUGAUCUGGAUGGCGGUUUCUCAUUUCCAAUCAAGUGGAAGUAAUUUGAAUCAGGGGGGAAGCUCCUAUGGCACAAUGCAACCUUCAAGUUGAUUAUGUAAUUGUUUCAGAUCAUUGCAUAAAUUUAAUCUGGUUAAAGUUCAGGCUCAUGUGAGACAUUGUUCAAGAGCUUAUCAUAGCAACUUUCAACACAUCGAUUGAACUUAUGAUUCUUGGAGCAUUGGUUUACAGAGGGUCUUGUGUUGAUGGCUGGAAGAACCCAAUUGUUAAGAACUUCACAUGUGAAUAAGAUCAUGAAGUUAGGGUGCCAAUGAAAUGGGAUACCAUUAGAAAUUAGUGGUUGUUCCACUAAGAUUUGUAAAGUUUUUUCCUUGCUAUCUGGCAGUGUAUGGAACAGUGAUGGCAAAUGGUUAUCUGAUAAUGAAGAUACCCAUUUGCUGCGUUUGCUGUGCA